GCCGGCGACCGGCGACGGGUGCGUAACGCGUAUGUAACCUACCUUUGACAGGGGGAUAACAUCGAGAAAUUGGUACUAAUACCCCAUAACAUCACCGGAGGCAUCUUCGGUGGUUGAAAACUCAGGUGGUCAGAGAUGGACAUGCGUUGUAUUAGCUAGUUGGUGAGGUAACGGCUCACCAAGGCGACGAUACAUAGGGGGACUGAGAGGUCAACCCCCCACAUUGGUACUGAGACACGGACCAAACUCCUACGGGAGGCAGCAG
This 265-nucleotide ribosomal RNA is filed under the name uncultured bacterium. RNAcentral's name for it is "partial 16S ribosomal RNA". It matches the Rfam family "Bacterial small subunit ribosomal RNA", at positions 87 to 354 of the family's 1533-position model. The record is from RNAcentral.